Molecule: long non-coding RNA, 1425 nt
Organism: Vicia villosa (hairy vetch)
Lineage: Eukaryota; Viridiplantae; Streptophyta; Magnoliopsida; Fabales; Fabaceae
Exons: 7
Source: RefSeq, a predicted model, not a curated record
UCUUCAUUCUUUACGAUUAUGUAUUUUUGGAUGCGCUUUUUUCCCUCUCAAAGCGGAACAACUUCUGUUUGAAUCGUGGAAAAUGGAAACAGGAACAGAAGCGGAAACGUGAAACACAACAUGUUCAAAUCGAGGAAAAUUGCUUAUCGUGAAAAGGAAAAAACGCCAAAACGUGCUUAUUUCGGAAGCGAUUCUCAAACGCAAUUCCAGAAUUAUCGGCACAGCUUUGAUGUUCUGGUUUUUCCGAUUUUGGUUUUAAGCUACAGUGUUUUGGUAAGCUAUUUUACGGUUUCGACGCACUUACGGGUUUGCUAUAACUUAUGAUUCUGAGCUGUUUUCUAUGCAAACUUGGUUGUGAACUAAAUAGACAGCAUACAUAAUAUAAAUUUGCCGAGUAUUUUUCCGGAUGUAGUGAUCAGGAGAAUAAAAUGCAGCUUUCUAUCAUGCUCGCAAAGUGUUCGAUAAAUUGCCUCUGUCGGUUCUUUCUUCUUUUUGCUUUUGUUUCAGUUCAAUUCUUGCUACAACAUUGAUGUUGUGCUGUUAUUUGCUGUUGUUGCAGGUUGUGGUUGACGAAUUGAUGGAAAAUUGGUGCCAGAUUUGUCGUUUCGCGCUAUGCCCACCAAAUGUUCGGUUAUGUGAAGGGUAAAUAGUCAACUACUUGCAGGCUGAUGCUAGACAUGGGGAAAUACUGGGUCAGCUUCUCUAUGAAUUUUCAGAAUGUUUUAUGCAAGUGUGCUCUUACGAGGAGUGUCAAACCUUGUAUCUGAUUAGCUCUAUUGUAUGCUUAUUUUUUCUUCUUCUUCAUACCCUCUAAUUUGAGAAAAAAGAGGAUUCAUUUUCACGACUUCAUGUUGAAUGUGCACAGCCUAUUACAAAAGCACAAAGGGCUUUUUGAUCCAUUGGAUGUUGUAGCAGAAGAGAUUUCUGAUGAAUUUUAUUAUGCCUUGACAAUCCGAAAUGGAACUACAACAAUGUUUACUCUCCUUUUCCAUUUCAAUCUUAAUCAUAUGAUGAAUUAAUGUAAGAGAGGACUUAUAUAACACUCUAGUGGUUGAUUUUAUGGAGUGUGCAACUGAGGUGGAUUCAAGAUAUUUCUUUCCUUACCUGAAAUGGAUUCCAAAUAAGAGCUUUGAGAUGAUAAUUAGUGGACUGGAUCGCCAAAAAGCAAUUAUCAUGAAGGCACUGAUUGAUGAGCAGAAAAGCGGUUGGCAUUAGGAAUGUGGCAUAUAUUUCAUUUGAGGCUUUGAUAUUGUUGCUUGGGUGGAUGUGAAGGAAUAUAAAACCCUUCAACCUGAUAAAAUUGCAGUUGAUGGUGGUGAGCAGUAUCUAAAGGAUCAAUUUUGAUUCAGAUUUAUGAAAGGGAAGAUACAAGACCACUCAAAAUUGUAGAUACAUGAAAGUGAAGUAUGAAAGGGAAGAUACAAG